UUGUGAAUUAUUGUGUUGGAACCUAGCCUUAAUAUUUCAUUUGGGUGUUAUAUUAAGGAUUAAAUCAACUUACUUGAAUUUAUCCCUUGUAGAUGUCUAAUUUUGACAACUAUGGUAUGGUCUUCCUUAUCUUUUUGGAAAAAGCUUUCCUCGUGAAGAUGAUAUUCCACAUGGCGAUCAAGGUGAAAGAUCAAUCUCUUUGCCGUGCAUUGAUGGGACUGGAAAUCAUACUUCACUUCCUCCACCUCCUCCAAUUAUUCUCCCCGACCCACGGGUUCGUCAACUUCGAUGAUAUUCCACAUGGCGAUCAAGGUGAAAGAUCAAUCUCUUUGCCGUGCAUUGAUGGGACUGGAAAUCAUACUUCACUUCCUCCACCUCCUCCAAUUAUUCUCCCCGACCCACGGGUUCGUCAACUUCAAAAG
This 422-nucleotide long non-coding RNA is filed under the name Lactuca sativa (garden lettuce). RNAcentral describes it as "long non-coding RNA (LSAT_LNC006754)". The record is from RNAcentral. Lineage: Eukaryota; Viridiplantae; Streptophyta; Magnoliopsida; Asterales; Asteraceae.